Cyprinodon tularosa is the source of this 258-nucleotide long non-coding RNA. RefSeq lists it as uncharacterized. The record is from RefSeq and is a predicted model, not a curated record. NCBI's taxonomy places the organism in Eukaryota, Metazoa, Chordata, Actinopteri, Cyprinodontiformes, Cyprinodontidae. The transcript has 3 exons.
UCAUUAAGGAAAAGGAGAAAACCAAACAAACAAAGAAACUUCAUUCUGUGCUCCUGCCGUGCUGACGUGUCAUCACAAUUACCCGGAAGCCGGUGACAUCACAGUUAAAGGUCCUCCUGAAACCAACAACAGAAAACCUGUUCCAGCGCCUGCCUCUGAGCAAGAUUAUUUUCUCAUCAGACCUCUCUUGCUGUGGGGCAAUCUAUAUUGGAGCCCUAAUCCGUUGGAUUAUAAUGGACAUUUAUUUUUGGAGAAGAA